Molecule: ribosomal RNA, 405 nt
Filed under: uncultured bacterium
Lineage: Bacteria
Description: bacterial SSU rRNA
Rfam family: Bacterial small subunit ribosomal RNA
Source: RNAcentral
AGCAGUGGGGAAUUUUGGACAAUGGGCGAAAGCCUGAUCCAGCAAUGCCGCGUGCAGGAAGAAGGCCUUCGGGUUGUAAACUGCUUUUGUACGGAACGAAACGGUCUGCUUUAAUACAGUGGGCUAAUGACGGUACCGUAAGAAUAAGCACCGGCUAACUACGUGCCAGCAGCCGCGGUAAUACGUAGGGUGCGAGCGUUAAUCGGAAUUACUGGGCGUAAAGCGUGCGCAUGCGGUUAUUUAAGACAGUUGUGAAAUCCCCGGGUUCUACCUGGGAAUUGCAUCUGUGACUGUUACCAACAGUACGGUAGAGGGGGAUGGAAUUCCGUUUGUAUCACGAAAUGCGUAGAUAUUGGAAACAACUUCCAUGGGAAAGCAAUCCUCUGGACCUGUCCUGAGCUCCUG